AUAAACCUCCAUUAGCAGAGCUUAGGCCGGCAGCAGUCAGAAAUGUCUGCUGGAGAAGACACUGCAAAGUGUCAGUGAGGGCGUUUGAGAAUUAAUUUUACCCUAGAGUAGCUGCGCAGGUCUGUUUAGCACUCACCUCUACAGUUUUGAACAUUCGAUAACACCAGAAUCAGUCUGAUGCCUUGAACACUUUACAUGAAGGGUUUUUCAAAAUCUAGCCACAAACAGAUAUGACCAGAUUUCAAAAAAUUUUGAGAAACUAGGAGGAAUCUAUUUUGACAAAGCCAAGCCACACAUAGGAUAGAGGCAGACAUGCGUGCCCUGGAAAGAAGAAAGUAGAAGGAUCAACUAAAAGAGCUCUCCCACUAAAUGGCUGUGGGCUCCUCUAAGAAACUGAAACAUGGAAGAAGGAAGGACCAGCCAGCCAGAACAGCAGUGGGUAUCAAGGAAUGAUAUAAAAGCAAGCUCAAGACAGUCAAGAUUCAAGGAGCUAUAUACCUUGCUUCCUUUCCAGAGCUGAAAUUUGAGUCAAGAGUCCAUUUCUUCCAUCUGGCCAGAUGAUCUCCAGGAUACUCUCAUGAAAUCACCGGAAAACUCUUUCUUAUUCCCUAAUGCUCUUGGGAGAUGAAGAUUUUUUGGCAAGAUAGAAAGAAAAUCUGAGGUCAGCAAAGUCAGCAGACAUAGGAGACAGCCAUAAAUCUGGGUGACAUUUAAUUCACAACCCAAGGAGGCAAAAGAUAUUACCCUAAUUUUACAGGGACCAGAAGUGAAACUUCAGCAGGAGGAGUGACUGCACGUGAGGGAAGAGAGCAGCCUCUUUGCACACAUGGGCACACACUGCCGAAAAUGAGAUUUGAGUUGUUGCUGCCAUAAUCUCCACAAACGCCCACCACAGAAUGACAUCACUGCCAAAGCCCAAUUAGUUCAGAGAAGACCCUGGCACUGGAUGAUAUUCCUUCAAGAUGGCAUGAAAUUCCAAAUAUAAAUUGGGUCCGCACUGGGCGAUGAUUCAAGAAAUCGUAUUGGCCAGUUCACAGGACUAGAAAUCCUUUAGACAGGCUUUGGAAAUUGUAUCAUUCCAGAUACAGACAGAGGUAUAGUUACAACUCAGACCUCUCAAUAAACAUCUAGAAAAAGAAA
RNAcentral lists this long non-coding RNA (1140 nucleotides) under Homo sapiens (human). RNAcentral describes it as "novel transcript". The record is from RNAcentral. Lineage: Eukaryota; Metazoa; Chordata; Mammalia; Primates; Hominidae.